RNAcentral lists this long non-coding RNA (4942 nucleotides) under Triticum aestivum (bread wheat). RNAcentral describes it as "long non-coding RNA (TAES_LNC012247)". Lineage: Eukaryota; Viridiplantae; Streptophyta; Magnoliopsida; Poales; Poaceae. The record is from RNAcentral.
AAUACCUCCCUUGUUCGUCUUUGAUUAUACUAUUUAUUUUACACAUCUCCAGCAAAAUAUGUUCCAGUGAUUGUUACCUUGUUUAUCCUUUGGAUUCAGUUUGUUUGUUGAUCUACAUCAUUUUACCAUUGCUUUUGUUGAAUAAUGAAGUAUCUGCUUGCUGAGUAUGAUUUAUCGUACUCACCCUUGUCUCCUCCGUCUUUUUAGAUGCAGCCGAUGUAACUUAAGUAUGCCCAGAAGAUGUCAUCCAAGAUUAAGCUGGACCAGUGGGUAGGAAGCGACUAGAGAAUUUAAUGUAGUUUGCCUAUUUGUAAAUGUAAAGAAAUUUGUAAACCAAAUAUAUGAGAUUUUGUGAUCCACUUAGUCACGCAAGGCAUGAUAAAGCAGGCAUAAACCAGCAGUGGAUCACAAAAGCUAAUAUAUUUACUAUACAAAUUCCUUAACAUCUACAAAUAGUUGAGUAAAGACAUCAUAUUCUCUAGUCGCUUCCCACCCGCUGGUCAAGCCUAGUCUUGGAUGAAGACAUCUUCUGAACAUACUUAAGUUGAACAUACUUAAGUUACCUCGUUCGCAUCUAAAAAAAAGAGGAAGCAAGGGUGAGUACGACAAAUCAUACUCAGAAAGCAGAUACUUCACUAUUCAACAAGGAGCGAUGGUAUGAUGGUGUAGAUCAACAGACGAAAUGAACAAGGAAAUUAUUGGCAUCACACAUGACCGCAAGUUUCCCAACCCGGGAGUCACAGGGGUGAAAUUUCACACUUUUACGCUCUUAAGAGGGGUACUCCGACGUCGACAUUCUCGACUAGAACCACACAGGUUCCAGAAGAGCAGAGCUCUUGUACCCACUAAGACCCGAACACCUGGACCUAAUGAUGUCGAUCGCUCCUACGGAUCCAUCACCGACACGUUCCUGAACAAGGUCCGUCCUUAGCGGAGAACUCAGACAGUCCCAUACCUGAACUGUGACCGGUACAAUAUGUUUGCCGUCGUGACACCAAUACAAAAUAGGAUAUGUGUUUGAAUCAACGGUAGAAUCACUGUAAUAUCAGUCAAAGACAAUACGCGUAUGACUUCUCACGAGUUCCUCCAAAAUACUCUGAUUCCAUCAACAAAUGGAAUACGAGGACAACACAUCCCUCACUCAAGGAUCAAGAGAGGAUCAAUAAGGAUCAAGGUGCAACAAUAUUAACCGAUAAUCAAAGAAGACAACAAUAAAGUGAGGUCGGGGAGUUAGGCAAAGCAGCUACUUGCCUCAGAUAAUAUGAUUUCUCCUUUAGAAUAAUAUUUUGCAAGAAGAUGAAACUCCAUCAUCUUUGUAUAAAAUCUGACGAACACACAUAUACUCAUAUUUCUUCUGAUGUAUGGCUUGGCUCUUCCCUCCAGCAGCACCUAAACGCUCUAUUCUUCUUCAAAUGUGGAUGCAUGCAUGAAUUCUUCAUCUCUCUUCUUUAUCUUUCUGGUGUCUUUCUUUCUCUCAGGCUCUCUCCACCAGUGUUUAUGUCUUUCUCUCAGAGUUGUGCUUUGAGCAGCGUGACCCACAGCUAUUUAUAGGAGGCGAGCGCCCGUGCAAGUCUAAAAUAUCUUGGCCUGGCUCUUACUUAAGCACUAAGAAAUGGCCACGUAUAGGACACGUAAAAGCUGACUUCUAUUUUCUAUUUCUACGUUCCUCUAGUACUUGGCCACGUUGCAGCCCACGUAGGAAACAUGGGUUUCUAGCGAUGCAGCCGAUGCAUGCAUUUACUCACGUUUGCUUCCUUUCCUCUCCUGUACGUGUAGUUGAUUCACUACAGUUUUCAAAACAUCUGACACAUGCAUGCAUAUCCUCUAGAACCAAGCCACGUUGCCUCUUCCUCAUGAUUACAUACAUGCACCUAUUUGACUUGGAGCUCUAGUACUAGGAAAUAUCUACCGGUGUAUCAUUUGUACAUGGUCUAAUUUCAUCUGUUCAAAUGCCACGUUAACUCUCUUGUAAUUUUCUAGCUUAUAUGGCCAACUAGCUAGUAGUAUUUUCCAUGCCUAUAUCACAACGUGAGUACAUGAAUGCAAGUCUAUGCGCACAUACACCUAAUCUUACUUAGUGUGUAGUUUUCUAAUAUUUAAUGCAUGCAAAAAUUUACAGCUCUAUCUUAAUUCUUUGAAUCAAGAAUUUAGCAUAACUUAGCAGAUAAUACAAAUUUAAUUACUUAUCUUAAUUUAAGUCAAUAACCCAAAAAUAUGGGUUAUUACAUCCUUCCCACCUUAUAAGAAUUUCGUCCCCGAAAUUCAACACUAACAUCUAUGUUUUUUUUAGUGAUCAAAUUCCCUCCCAUCAUAUUUGGAACAGUUUAUUUGAUGCAUGCUCAAUAAUUAAUUAAAAAUAAUGCAAAAAAGGAUUUGCAAUCUUUCUACAGUUCAUGGAUAUAUCUGCUAUAACAUAAGUUGGCAACACUAAACAUUUUAUUUGGUAAAUUCAUUAACAAAAAGGAUAGAUAGUGGUAUAGCAAUUGUCCCAUUACUAGAACAAUAUCACCGGUUGUCUUAAACAAGAAAAUCUACACUAAUAACAAGUCAUGUAUUAAUCUAACAAGAUGUCUAUUUAUUUCCCAUUCAUCCUCAAAUUUCACCAAUAAUAUGUACGCUAUAUUAUUUAUUUGCAUGGAUAUCUGUCGACAAUAUUCGUGAGUAACAACACACAAACUAGUUGAGACAAGAUAUGGAAAUAAAAUUUUCAUACCUGUCACACAACACAAAUAUAUUCGGCGAUCUACCCGUUUAUCCCAACGCAACCUAAAACCUAGAGAUAUUUUAGAUCGCUAUAUUAGCUCUAGAGCAUAUAUAAUAUUUUUGAACUGGAGGAGAGAGCCCGAGAGAAAGAAAGACACCAGAAAGAUAAAGAAGAGAGAUGAAGAAUUCAUGCAUGCAUCCACAUUUGAAGAAGAAUAGAGCGUUUAGGUGCUGCUGGAGGGAAGAGUCGAGCCAUACAUCAGAAGAAAUAUGAGUAUAUGUGUGUUCGUCAGAUUUUAUACAAAGAUGAUGGAGUUUCAUCUUCUUGCAAAAUAUUAUUCUAAAGGAGAAAUCAUAUUAUCUGAGGCAAGUAGCUGCUUUGCCUAACUCCCCGAUCUCGCUUUAUUGUUGUCUUCUUUGAUUAUCGGUUAAUAUUGUUGCACCUUGAUCCUUAUUGAUCCUCUCUUGAUCCUUGAGAGAGGGAUGUGUUGUCCUCGUAUUCCAUUUGUUGAUGGAAUCAGAGUAUUUUGGAGGAACUCAUGAGAAGUCAUACGCGUAUUGUCUUUGACUGAUAUUAAAGUGAUUCUACCGUUGAUUCAAACACAUAUCCUAUUUUGUAUUGGUGUCACGACGGCAAACACCGACACGUUCCCAAACAAGGUUCGUCCUUAGCGGAGAACUCAGACAGUCCCAUACCUGAACUGUGACUGGUACAAUACGUUUGCCGUCAUGACACCAAUAUAGAUGGAUGUGUGUUUGAAUCAACGAUAGGACCAUUGAAGUAUCAGUCAAAGACAAUACACUCAUGACUUUUCAUGAGUUCCUCCAAAAUACUCUGAUUCCAUCAACAAAUAGAUUAUGAGGAAAACACAUCCCUCUUUCAAGGAUCAACAGAGGAUCAACAAAGAUCCAGGUGCAAUGAUAUUAGCAGAUAAUCAAGAAGGACAACAAUAAGGAGAGAUCAGGGAGUUUAGCAAAGCAGCUACUUGCCUCAGAUAAUAUGAUUUCUCCUUUAGAAUAAUAUUCUGCAAGAAGAUGAAGCUCCAUCAUCUUUGUAUAAAAUCUGACGAACGCGCAUAUACUAAUAAUCUUCUGACGUAUGGCUCUAGGUAUGUUAGUAACAAUAACAUAUGAGAACGUAUUUUGAACAAAGACCCACCUUGCUCUUCUGAUAAGCCUAUUUUUGAACUGGUUUGUGUGUGUCAGGUAUUUAUACCGAUGUAUCAAUAUUUUAGAUCCGUUCCAUCUAGCCUUUCUAGCUGUCCUAUUCCUUGUUUGUCUCACUGUUCAUGCCAUGCUCUAUAGCUAGUAGUACUUCUGAAGCUCUAUAAUGUGCACUGUUCAUUUGAUUCCUGUACAUCUCUUGAAGCUAGCAUGCAUACCACAGUACUACCUUUUGGUUUAUGAUCACGGUGGAGAAAUCCUUGGGACAUGCAUGUGAGCACAUGGAUUAAUGGCUCAUGCAUGGAUGGUUGGUUCUGUGAAAAGCCUAGUGAUAUUUAUUUUGGUCUUGCAUGUACUUCCUCUUGCUAAUCCUUGUCUAGUAAAUUUUAUAAAAUCUGGUAUCACGACGGGAAACGUAUUGUACCGGUCACAGUUCAGGUAUGGGACUGUCUGAGUUCUCUGCUAAAAACGCCACACGUUCGGAAGCGUGUCGAUGAUGGAUCCGUAGGAGCGAUCGACACUAGUAAGUCGAGUGGGCGGUUCUUGGGGGAGAGACCGGGCCUAGGCGAGACAGCCGCCGCGAGCCUAUAGACCAGAGGCCUAUAGUCACACAAGGCAUGAUAAAGCAGGCAUAAACCAGAAGUGGAUCACAAAAGCUAAUAUAUUUACUAUACAAAUUCCUUGACAUCUACAAAUAGUUGAGUAAAGACAUCAUAUUCUCUAGUCGCUUCCCACCCGCUGGUCAAGCCUAGUCUUGGAUGAAGACAUCUUCUGAACAUACUUAAGUUGAACAUACUUAAGUUACCUCGUUCGCAUCUAAAAAAACAUAGGAAGCAAGGGUGAGUACGACAAAUCAUACUCAGCAAGCAGAUACUUCACUAUUCAACAAGGAGCGAUGGUAUGAUGGUGUAGAUCAACAGACGAAAUGAACAAGGAAAUUAUUGGCAUCACACAUGACCGCAAGCUUCCCAACCCGGGAGUCACAGGGGUGAAAUUUCACACUUUUACGCUCUUAAGAGGGGUACUCCGACGUCGACAGUCUCGACUAGAACCACACAGGUUCCAGAAGAGCAGA